RNAcentral lists this ribosomal RNA (468 nucleotides) under uncultured bacterium. Its description in RNAcentral is "bacterial SSU rRNA". It matches the Rfam family "Bacterial small subunit ribosomal RNA", at positions 29 to 506 of the family's 1533-position model. The record is from RNAcentral.
ACGAACGCUGGCGGCGUGCCUAACACAUGCAAGUCGAGCGGGGUCCAACCAGUGGCAACACUGGGGAAGACCUAGCGGCGAACGGGUGAGUAACACGUGAGAAACCUGCCCUGAACUCUGGGAUAACCCGAGGAAACUCGAGCUAAUACCGGAUGCCCCCACCGGGUCGCAUGGCCUGGUGAGGAAAGAUUUAUCGGUUCAGGAGGGUCUCGCGGCCUAUCAGCUAGUUGGCGGGGUAACGGCCCACCAAGGCAUCGACGGGUAGCUGGUCUGAGAGGACGAUCAGCCACACUGGGACUGAGACACGGCCCAGACUCCUACGGGAGGCAGCAGUGGGGAAUAUUGCGCAAUGGGCGAAAGCCUGACGCAGCAACGCCGCGUGCGGGAUGAAGGCCUUCGGGUUGUAAACCGCUUUCAGUGGGGACGAAAUCAGACGGUACCCACAGAAGAAGCCCCGGCCAACUACGU